GCCGUUGUAGCUCAGUUGGUAGAGCACGUCCAUGGUAAGGACGAGGUCCCCAGUUCGAUCCUGGGCAACGGCU
This 73-nucleotide transfer RNA is filed under the name Patescibacteria group bacterium. RNAcentral describes it as "tRNA-Thr". It matches the Rfam family "tRNA". From Rfam's summary of the family: Transfer RNA (tRNA) molecules are approximately 80 nucleotides in length. Their secondary structure includes four short double-helical elements and three loops (D, anti-codon, and T loops). The record is from RNAcentral.